AUCUUCAGGGCGGAGUGUAAUUCUCCACCGGCAGUUAUAGUCUGCGAGCGCAAGCCGAAUCGGUGAAAUUCCGAUACCGACAGUUAAAGUCUGGAUGGAAGAAG
Molecule: non-coding RNA, 104 nt
Filed under: uncultured Anaerococcus sp.
Lineage: Bacteria; Bacillati; Bacillota; Tissierellia; Tissierellales; Peptoniphilaceae
Description: FMN riboswitch (RFN element)
Rfam family: FMN riboswitch aptamer (RFN element)
About the family: The RFN element is a highly conserved domain that is found frequently in the 5'-untranslated regions of prokaryotic mRNAs that encode for flavin mononucleotide (FMN) biosynthesis and transport proteins. This element is a metabolite-dependent riboswitch that directly binds FMN in the absence of proteins. In Bacillus subtilis, the riboswitch most likely controls gene expression by causing premature transcription termination within the 5' untranslated region of the ribDEAHT operon and precluding access to the ribosome-binding site of ypaA mRNA.
Source: RNAcentral